Molecule: ribosomal RNA, 348 nt
Filed under: Andrias japonicus (Japanese giant salamander)
Lineage: Eukaryota; Metazoa; Chordata; Amphibia; Caudata; Cryptobranchidae
Description: partial 16S ribosomal RNA
Rfam family: Bacterial large subunit ribosomal RNA (bases 240-348)
Source: RNAcentral
GUUAGAAAUAUAGCUUAUAAUUAGCAAGUAUGCAUAACUAGUAUUACCCAAACAAACCAUUUUUUAUUUUAGUAUAGGUGAUAGAAAUAAUUAUUAACGCAAUAGAUAAAGUACUGUAAAGGAAAAAUGAAAUAAAAGUGAAAUAAUUAUAAAGCAUAAAUAAGCAUAGAUUAAUUCUUUUACCUUUUGCAUCAUGGUCUAUCAAGUCCAACCUGGCAAAAAGAACUUAAGUCAGACACCCCGAAACUAGACGAGCUACUCCAGAGCAGCAAUAAUAGAGCAAACCCUUCUCUGUGGCAAAAGAGUGGGAUGACUUUCGAGUAGAGGUGAUAAGCCUAUCGAGCCUAG